CAUGGAUACAAUUUAAAUAAGAUAUUUUUUCUAUUUAAGGCAAUAUAAUAUAAGAUAUAUAUUUUAGUAUAACUCUCCUACAUUAACAAGCUUUAACACAUUCAGUGGCCAUGAAGUAUGAGUAGCAUCACGAAGGUUUUACGGAAGGUACUGACGACACAUAAGUUAUGUGAGUAGUACUGUGUAACUAAAUAAAUGAUUUAAGUAUGUGGUACCAGCCAAGUGGAGCUUGUUCGAGAUGGGCACCAAACAUGUUAAUCUGGUCAUGCACAGAGACUUAUACUAUAAUAUGUUAUAUCUUCUAUUGCUCACUAUUGUAAUGAGUGA
Long non-coding RNA from Diabrotica virgifera virgifera (western corn rootworm), 327 nucleotides. RefSeq lists it as uncharacterized. The transcript is spliced from 2 exons. Lineage: Eukaryota; Metazoa; Arthropoda; Insecta; Coleoptera; Chrysomelidae. The record is from RefSeq and is a predicted model, not a curated record.